UUUUUUUUUUUUUUUUGGGUUGGUUCGAGUAAGUUGGAUUGACAUCCUCUCACUCUGAAUGAUUCAACCUCAGGUAACUCAUUAGGUAAAUCCAUUGUUUAACUUAUUUUGAUGUGUGUUCAGAUGAAAGACUCUAGCUUAAGUUAAGGAUUAGCUUGGACUUUAAGAAUGCCACAAAAUGUGUGGUGAGCUUGAGCCUUGUUUUUAUAUGUGUAUUGUUAGGAACCUCGCUAAUUUUCAAACUUGAUUAAGUUUACAUUUUUAGGACAAAAUAGUUUUUCCGCAAAACAUUAAUUUUGAAUAUUUUUGGGAAUUUUUCCACAAUUGAUUUUUCUUAGGUAUAAUUUCAAUAAGCCCUAGCAAGGAGUUUUAUAUAUAAUAAUAAAUUAAUUAAAAAAUUUCAAGUUCAUAUGGUAAAUGAUAAAUUAUUUAUCUUAAACCAUUUAGUUUGGAUGACAUCUGUUAUAGUAUAAAAUUCAACUUAUAAUAAAAAUGUCAUCAUAUAACGUAUCUUAAACCAUUUAUUUUGUAUUCUUCUUUCUAUAUAUAUUUUCUCUUAUAUUUUAUAUUUGAUUUGUAUCCGUAUGUUUCUCAAAUCAUUGACAUGUUUACAAUAAUAAAUAACUUAUUCAACUACCAAUCAUUUGAUAUUCAUUUAUUACACAAUAUUAAUUUAAAUGUUUAAUAAAUAUAAGAUAUAUAUUAAAAACUCUUCAAUAUUGAUAUUAAUUAGUAGAAACAUGAUGGGUUAUGAAAGUUUUAAAUAAAUAUGGUACAAAAUGAUAAUUUGUUUUGAACCAUAUUCUUCAUUUAAAUGGCCCCUAUUAUAUAAUUUAUAAAAAUAAAAAUUAUACUAUAAUCUUACUGUAUUCUCUCUUGUCUUUGUAUGACAUUAUCUUACCAUAAUCUUAUUGUAUCUACUCAUUCCCAGAAAAUAAUAUCAUCUUGAAAACAAAAUGCUACAUCAAGAGUCUUAAAAUUAACAUUAAGAGAAGAAUAAUCAUUACAAAAUGUUGAAAGGAAUCCCCAAAUAAAUGACAAUUAGGAGGAAACAAACCACCCCAUAUUCCCAUAGUUACCACUAGCUCCAGUGACACCACUAGGCGCAAGUAAGUUGCUAAAUUAGCUUAAUACAACAAAACCACCCACAUCCACAUCCACAUAAACAUACACAUACACAUACGCAUACACAUACACAUACACAUACACAUACACAUACACAUAAACAAGCACACAUAACCUCCCAAAAAAAACAGGCAGAAAAAAGGUAACACCCAGGGGCCAGGGCCUCAUCCCGCAAACAGUUUACCAUUUGCUAUAGAGACGACCUUUUUUCGGUCAGACUGUGAUUAGUCAACUCAAAAGAUAUAACAAAAAACAUGUUUGUUUUUCAGAUGCGAAGUGGGCCCGAUUCCUUGUUUUUCAAAGAUAAUUUUGAAAACUGAGAUUCCACACUAUCUCUACUGUUGCUUCGCUGAUGCCUAACAAUCGGCUCUUCAGAUGCUGGUUGUUGCUGUUGUUUAUACAACCCUCUCAGUCUGCCAAUCUCUCUCUCUAAAACUUCAUGUUCCACUGCAAAAAACCAACAUUUGCUUUAGUUUUCCACCUAUGAAAUAGAGUUAAAUGCUACAAUUUUACCAAAUUCAUGCAGCAAUGCCUCACUUCUUUUACCAAUUUUUCACAUAUGAAAAGAACCAGAUUAUAAGAGAAGAUGUAGACCAAUUACAUUAAAAUUUUGCAUGUUUAGAAACUUACAGUAUUUGAUAAGUUGCUCUUGAGCCAAAUUCUCUAACCGCUGUUUCAGUGCUUUGUUCUCCAUGUUCAGAAUAAGACUUUGCUGGUUUAGAAACUUUAGUUGAGCAGAUACCUCAGAACCUUCUGCCUGCAAUCACAUCAUAUAUCUUAAGUAUAGAUAUAUAAAACAGCUAUCAAAUAUCAAUAACAAGUUUUUUGUUUGAAUUAUAAUCCACCUGUAAAGCUUGUACAUUCCUUUCCAAUUCUGCUAUGUAUUGAAGCUUUCGCACCCGAGAACGUUGAGCAAAUUGCCUGUUAUUAUAUUUGUUCAUAAAAGUUAAUAAUCACACGAUAAAUCCAGAUCAUCAUCUUUAAUCUUUUGUUAUUAGUGGAACAUGUUACCAAAACCACUCAUACAGAUGGGGCCCGUUAUCAAAAGCAGGAAUACCAACUUGGAACUUUUAAAAAUAUUGUUAAACUACAUUUCCUUAUUGGCACCAGAAAACAAGGAUUAUCAUACAUGCCAUCUUGAAAAGGAAAGUAAAAUAUUUCAAACCAAAGGUGGGAAAGUAAAGGGGGCCAAAUUAUAAAAAAAGUUAGGACUUAAUGGGGAAUACCCCUUAUAAUCCUUAUCCAUGAAUUUCUCUAUUAAGUCGUUCUUUCUACACUAAGUCAAAAAGAAAUAGCUUACAAGAUUAAGUUAUGUCCCCAUCAAGUCCAUUAAGUCAAAAGGAAACAGCACCUCACUCCAUUUAUUGUGAAGCAACUCUACUUUUACACUAAAAAGCUUUUUUGAAAGUAGAAAGGAGGGGAAAUUGAGAUUGUAUUUUAUGUACAAAGGUGUUAAAUUUCAUAUUUCAACUAGCAGAGUCAACUUGUAACACAGCAAACAUGAUUUACAUUUCCUAAAUCCCAAAAUGUAAAAAGGAGAAAGAGAAUUUACUUACUGCUUGGCACGUUUAGUGUCUGUUUCUGAUGCAGAACCCUUUGUAUUAGAUGAAUCACUAUGUGCAUCUUGAGUACAAGAUUCAACUGUGUCUUGCUUUUCAUUUGUUGGUGAAACAGUCUUAUUAACCUCUUGUGAACCACCCAAGGAUGUAGAAUUUUGAAGAAUAAAUCCAUCUCUAGAAGAAUUUGCUGAAUCCCAACCCCGAUUUUUGUUUUUUGUCAUUGGAUUAUGUUCUACAUAAAAAGAUGCAUUUCUAGCAUCUUUAUAAAGAUCAAAAUCUUGAGAUCCCCAUGAAGGAGGAGAUUGAGAGUUCAUGUUUCUCAAUCUGUACUCAAUUUGUGCAGCAUGUUCUAUGUUGGCAUUAGCUGCUUCCAUAUAUGUAAAAGAGUCACUUGAUGAGCGCCGAUGACCUCUUCUUACAGGUGUUUCUGGUUCAUCAAGAAGUUCAUCCAGCCAUGAAGGUUGUUCUUCUACUAGAAGGCUUUCAGAAGAAGUACGUUGAUGAUGAUGAUGAUGAUGAUGAUGUGAAUUUACAUUUCCGUCCCUAUACUUUGGUAUCCCUUUUGCUCCACUUGCAGUAGUAUAAUCAGGAUAAAAUGGGGUAAUGCUUGGGAAUGGACUUUUAGGGGGUAGGGAAUAGUGUUUUCCACUGUACAUAUUUCUUAUUGUUGAUGGUCCCUUGGAAUUCUCCAUAGCCAAAUCACAAAUUCCUGUAAAAUAAUUAUGGCAAAAGCAUAUAAGAAACUAAUAUAUUUGUGUGGCAGAAAUAACUAGUAAUGGUGAAUCAUCUAACAAAUCGUCUACAACCACCAUAAUCAAAUUAUCGUUUCUUACAGAUGAGCUUAAUAAUUUAGUACCAGUGAGGGGAGACAUCAGAUUCAAACCAAUUUCAGUUCAUACUAUUCCUAUAUAUAUCAUCCCUUAUAGUUUACACCUAAAAUUUGCACCUUCUUUCUUACUAUUGCUUUUCCUCCUAAUAAUUGAUAAAGGAACACUAAUUAAUUCUACGUAACCUACAUUCUCUCAAAAAAACCAAUAACUUUCAAGCUAAAACAAUACAAGUUCAAUCAUUCACGAGGAAUUUACUUAGCUGAUCAUUACCUUUAUCACGUAGUGAAGAUAUCCAAAUGCAAUGUGAUUUUCGGGAAAAACGAGGAUAGUAAACCAAAUCGACUCGAAUCUAAGCUCAACUUGUUGUUCUUCUUCUAGCUAGUGUUGAUCAUUAGGGUUUUCUUCCUCUUCGAACAGCUCUCACUAUCUAUGAUCUAUCUAUCUAUGGAGCUGCUAUGCUAUGCUCUGCUCUCCUCUCUUUCUCUCUCUCUCUCUAAAAUUCUUGAAUUGUCGUCAAUGUGGAUUGGGUUGCAGCUGGUCGAUGAAUAAUGAAUAAGGCUUGCUUUUGACAGCCCAAAUGAAACCAAUUUUCUUUUCUUUUGUCGUUUUCAGGUUUUUGUUUAUGAAAAUAUAAUAUCAAAUUAGAAAAUUCUAAAAUAAUAUUUAAAGAGAAAUAAAAUCUACAGAUAUAACUUUUUAACAAAAAUCAGAUAAAACGAGUACAAAAAAUACAGUUGAUUAGCUUUUUGUUGGGUUUUUUUUAUGUUGAUAAGAAUUAUUUUAAUCCAAGUCUUGAAAUGGAGCCAAUAGCAUGGAGAUGUCCUUGUCAUCACACCAAUAUAUUAAGAAAGAUUCACCAAACACAAGUAUCACCAAUGUUCAAGUUGGCCAUGUACAGCUUCUGCCAUUGGGGAUGGGGUGGAGUGGGGUACUGUAGGGUUGGAACAUUACAAAAAAAGUAAAGGUACUAAAAUAUUAAAUAUAAAAACAAAUGAAUUAAUGGUUUUUCUUUAACAAAUGUUUUAAAAUUGAAAUUAUUUAUUGGUUUAGUAAGAUGGAUUGGAAUGUGAUUCGUUAGAUUACAAAAAAUGAUGGAUAAUAUGUACAGAGGCUAAUAACAUAAAAAGUAGUAUUAUAUUUUGUCAUCUUUUUUGGAUUUAACCUUUACAUUUAGUUUGUAUUAAAAAAAAAAAAGGCACAUAUUUUUAGACAAAAAUUCUAUUAAAUCAUUAUGAACUGCAAAUACAAGUCAAACAAGUGAUGCCUUCUUUUUAAUUGUAAUAAAACCACCCAUUUAAAAGAAAAAAUUAUCUAACCAAUAUCUAUUUUUUGUUUUGUUUUUAAUUUUUUUAAUUUUAGGGCUUAUUUUUAUCUAAAAACGUCAAAUAUAUAAAAAUUUAUAAUCUUUUUUUUAUCUACAAAGAGAAAUCUAUAUCGAUGCCAAACCGCAAAGUUCGGUAUUUGAUUGAGCUAUUCGGUUUCGGUUUCUAUGAUUUAGUUUUCGUCUUUUGGAUCGAAAAUCAUUUGAUUUUGGUUUCUAUAACUUCGUCUAUUUUUUUUGUUGUUGAAAAAACAAAGCGCAAAAUUUGGUUUGUAAGUUGAACUUUCAUACAAACACAUCGACCAUUUAUAUAAUAUAAUAUAAAAACAUUAAAUUUUUGGUGAAAAAGUUAUAAAGACAAAAGGUGAAUGAUUUUUUCAAUCUAAAAAAAUCGAAACUAAAACAUAGAAACCAACACCAAAGCUUUUUCAAGAAAAAAAAAAAAACUAAACUUUAUAGUUUGGCAUCAACAAAAAAUUAUAAAGUUUAAUAUAUUGACAUUUUUUGGUUGAAAAUAAACAUCUAUUUCGAUAUAUGUUGAUGUCAAACCGUAAUUUUUUCAUGUAUUGAAAAAUCAUUCAGUUUUGAUUUCUAUGAUUUAGUUUCAACUUUUUGGAUUGAAAAAAACAUUUGAUCUUAGUCUCUAUAAUAUACUUUCAGUAAAAAAUUUGAUAUUUAUAGAAUAUGUCAUAGACUAGUCCAUGUAUUUGUAUGAAGUUGCGGUGAUGGAAAAAAUAAUAGAAACCAAAUUUUGGAGUUUGGUUUUACAAAAAAAAAAAAAAAAAGUUUUUUCAACCAAAAAAAAAGACUUGAAUUGAUUUUCAACCCAAAACAAUUUAAACCAAAUCAUACAAAUCGGGACUUAAUGAUUUUCUAACAAUAAACAUUGAACUUUACGGUUUAACAUUGACAUAUAUCGAUAUAAAUGUCUGUUUCUACAGGAAAAAGAGAUACGAUGAUGUCCGAAAAACAAAAUUAUGACGAUGUUGAGGUUUAUAGUUAACACCGUGUCUUUAAAACAAAUUCGUUUGUAACUGAAAUAUUUGUCUCCAAUAUACAACAAUGAAAAGCAGAACUUCGAGAUUGCCCGAAUCUAGCAAAACUCGAAUGCUACCUUGAGAGUAGCAUGAUUAUGUGUGUCAUGAAUGCAUCAUUUUUAUUGUUUUUUUUUUUUUUUUGAACUUAUUGCACAUCCACAUGUAUUGAUGUAUUGUUUUAGAUUGUUGGCACUCAUUGUGAUUCCUCACUUGGUCAUCCGUUUUAAAACUAAUUAAAGCAUGAUUUAUUAAAAUUUGUUGCAUCCGAAAGAACGUGUGCUAAGCGCGUAUAAUAAAGGGUCAAGUGGCUACAUGUUGGUUGUAUGGGAUUUUAUAGCUUGGUUGGGAAAAAUACUACUCUUUUCUUAAUUUUGUGAAUUAAAGAAACAUGUGAUAUUGAAAAUAUAUGUUUCUUUAUUUUAAGAGGUAAUGAAAAAUGCCUUGGGAUUCAUCCUAGUAAUGGCAGGGUCAUCACAUCUAUUUAAAAAAUAUAUUGUGUAUUUAACGAUUGGGAAAUAAAGAUUUUGGAAAUAAACGGGCGUUGUAUAUCAAAAAUGUUAAAAAGUCUUUAAGGGUUAAUAACUAAAAAACCAUUAUAUUUUGUCACAUUUUUUGGUUUAACCACCUAAUUUUCAUUUAUGCUAAAAAAAACCAUUAUUUUUUUGAUAAAAAUUCUACCAUGGCCAUUUUGACCAGUAUUUGUGCUAAAAAAAUUAUGGUUAAGCAAAACUUUUGAAAAAAGAUGGUGUUUUUUUUCCUAAUCAAAACCGGCUCUAAUAGGUAAUAGUGGUCAUGCUUUAUGUUUUAUCAAAAAUUGAUGUUUUUUUGGAACUUAUAAAAAAUUGGUGGUUAAACCGAACACUUAGAAAAAUAUGGUGCUUUUUUUGUAAUUUGCCCAAAGUCUUAAUAUAUUGAAAGGUUCCCUGAACUUAAAUCAAAGUAAAAGAGUACAAAUACAGCCCAUCACCAUAAAUACCUAAUUAAAGUAGGCAUACUGAAAGAGCUGAUGUCGGUAUUAAUUAUACAAUGAACUUCAUGAUAAGACCUUAGGAGUAAUGCAGUAAAAUACUAAAAUUAAGGGGACUUGAUACUAAUAAUGUUAUGAAGCAUAAGUAAAUGAAACUAUCAAUCAAAAUUUUGAAUAAAUUAUCCAUACCUGCUCAUGAAGCUUAAUAUCAAUAAAUGGAAGAAAAAAAAACAUUUAACCUGUAAAGAUGCAGAAUAUUUGACUAAUUCAUAUAAUAAACCAGAAUCAACUAUAUGUACACAUUAGCAAACUUCUAAAAGAGCAGGAAAAUUUUAACACCACAACAAAAAUGAAAUUCAGACCAAGGGGUUGUUUCUUUUUUACUUAAUCUGGACAGAAGGAAAUAACUGGUNCUGUAAAGAUGCAGAAUAUUUGACUAAUUCAUAUAAUAAACCAGAAUCAACUAUAUGUACACAUUAGCAAACUUCUAAAAGAGCAGGAAAAUUUUAACACCACAACAAAAAUGAAAUUCAGACCAAGGGGUUGUUUCUUUUUUACUUAAUCUGGACAGAAGGAAAUAACUGGUUAAGCCAAAAAAAAAAAAAAAAAAAAAAAAAAAAAAAAAAAAAAAAAAAAAAAAAAAAAAAAAAAAAAAAAACUAGCUUAAUGUAUCCAGACACCAACCAUUUAACUAUUUGUCAUUCUUUUUUUUCAUCCCAACUCUUCUCAUGUUAAAAUUGACCAAUACUAUGAAAAUGGUUUGUAAGGGUAAAAUGGUCAUUUAGUCUCAUUCAGCCGGUUUAUUCAGUCUAGAAAAGAAGCAGACCUUACAACACAUUCACCCACUUUACCCAUACAGUACUGAAUGGAGAAAAAAAUAAACAGCCCAUAAAUAUCAUAUAUUACAAGUUGUAGCAUUCAGAGACAUACCUUUUGAUGGUUUCAAAUGGAUCACUUUUUCAAGCCUUGGAAACCUAACCUUCUUCAGAUGCUGAAAGGUGAGAUAGGUAAAUUUUACUGUUGUUAGCAUAGUAUACCUUAGCCCCAAAAUUUUCAUUCCCAUAUCAUUACAAAAUAAAACCAACCUUUUAUUUUUAUAUGCAAAUAUCUGAGAAAACCAAAGACUAGAAUUAAUAAAAAUUUAAACCUGAUGUCAUUACCAAUAUAAACAACCGUGUAAACUGGUAACAACUAACGACACAUUUCCAGAUUUACAAAGCAAAAAAAAAAACAUUCAUUGAGCAUUGAGCAUGUAAUGUAACUCGAGUACUUUCGUCAAUUUUUCUACCUAAUAACCUGAUAUCAGUAUUACUAUAUCAUUGAGGAACUGAAAAAACCAAGUACCCAUUAUCCCAACGAACCCUAAUCUCCUGUCCAACUUGCAGCCCUUUCCCUCUGAUGAUUUGACCCCAUUUUCCAAUAAGAUUAUAGUAACUCCCACGACACUUCAACUUCAUUAAAAAAAGAUCACCUGUGUCAUAAUCUCUUGCAUUUACAUUUAUCUGAAGCUCAUUUCUUAAUUGCUCUCGUGCCUGUGAUGCCCAAUACAAAAGAAUAUGAUCUUCAAUUGAUUUCCCAGGUAAUGUGAGGAAAGGAUGAUUUGUAUCCACAUCAGAUGAAGUUAGAGCCUUUUUAAUUGGCCAUUCUUCUUGAUGAUGAUGAUGAUGUAUCACUGGGAUUGUUGUAGGGACCACAGUCUGUUCAUAAGGGACAGAAAAAUGAAGGCAGCCAUUAGCCCAUCUUAUCUUGAUCUCUUUCCCUACCCCUAGUCCCUUGCUACGGAUAAUCUUUCCCCAUUUUCCUAUUAGAUUAUAAUAAUUACCACGCCACCUCAGCUUCAUGACAUAUAUAUCCCCUGUAUCAACAUCGCGUGCAUUCAAAUUGACUUGUUCUUCGUUUCUCAAAAGCUCUCUUUGUUGAGGCGUCCAAUGGACAAGAAUAUGGUCUUCAACUGAUCUUCUUGCUAAAGGUAGAAAAGGGUGGUUUGUGUCCACAUCAGAUAGAGUUAAAACUUUUCUAAUUGGCCAUUGAUCAUGAUGGGGUACAGGUGCAGGGAUGAUUUGCAAGGGUGGAAUAGCAAGAACUUGUUGUUGAGGGACUGAAAAGUGAAGGCAUCCAUUAAACCAACGGAUUUUGAUCUCUUUUCCAACAUCGAGUCCUUUGCUACGUACGAUUCUUCCCCAUUUGCCAAUCAGAUUGUAAUAACUUCCACGCCAUUUUAACUUCAUGACAUAAAGAUCACCAGUGUCAUCAUCUUGAGCAUUGAUGGCUACUUGCUCUCUGUUUAGAAGGUGAUCGCGUUCAAGCUGUGUUAGAUGGACAAGGAUGUAGGUCUCAACUGGCUGACGAGGGAGAGUGAGAAAGGGGUGAGUUAUGUCAACGUCUGAAAGUGUGAGGGCCUUUCGGAUUGGCCAAUCAUCGUGUACUUGUAAUGCAUUGUUGUGCCUAGAACGCCUCAUGCCUGUGGACAGUGUAGAAAAAGAGAAUAAUUUGUUACGACUAGGUUUUUUUUUCUCCAAAAUAGAAUAUAGAAAUGUGAGUUAUUGAUGAUUAGAGCUUAUUUACCACAAUGUCAACGGACAAAUGGUUAUCCAUUCAGAAAUUCAAAACUAAAUAAACUUUGUUCAUAUGGAUUUUCAUUAUUCAGAGCACAUAUACAUUGAAAUUCACUAAAACCUUCCUUAAAUUCUUAUAGCAAAAGAAGUCCCAACUAUUUUAUCUGCUAAUUUUUAAUAGGCUUCUUAGUUUUGCAAAAGCAGACACCUUUUUGCUGAAGCCCUUACUCUGUGGUUUCUAGAAAAUCACAACUCUAGCAAAAAUCAAGACAAAGAUCAUAACCAAGAAUAUAACAACAUGUAGCUUUCACUACAAAGACGACAUGUAGAUAGCAGAAAAUUAGCCGAUCGGAAACCCUACAGAGCCUACAUUUGUCAAAUAACAGAGUAAACAGUAUGACACAGCAGCAAGUAGCUUUCGAUGUAAUUCUCUUAAGCUUCCACGUUUCAAGUAUCGGAAGCCCAAGUGCGUGCAGCCAAUUAAUUGCAAGUUUAAACAUAUAUAGGACUGGGGCUAGGGCUAGAGCUAGAACUUCUGCAUCUAACUUUCAAUACUAAAAAAAACAACCAGUUCAAAAGUAAAAUAAAAAUCGAGAAAACUGAAACCCAGCCUAAUCAAGUAAGGGAUUAGCUAAAAGUUUUGUACGAGAAUUAAAGACAAAUGAGCCAGAAAAGUAGUUGGAAACCCAAAUUAAAUAUGAUUUCGUACGAAGUAAGUAAUAGUACCUGCGUUUGUCAGCGAUGGGAUUUGAUCGAGAAAAACCCUAGAGAGAGAGAGUUAAGAGAAAUUGGGGAAAUUAAACAUGUACAAGUAGAAAAGGAAGAAGAUAAUGGUUAAUGGCGGCGUCGAUUGUGUGGAUGAGAUUGGUAAAAGUGGAGAUGGAGGUGGUGGUGGUGGUGAUUUUGGUGUGGGGAGGGAAGGGAGGCUGUAGCUGAACUGGCAAAAAAUGGAGGCCAAUUCGCGUGAAGACGGAGAAUCAUGUCUACCAAAUGCUAUAAAUCUUCUUUUUAAUUAUACAUUUUUUUCUCUUUUCCUUUUAUUUUUCGAUUUAGAGCAAUCUUUUCUAAAUGUCAUAAUUUUUUUUGUUAAUUUUUAGAAUCAUGUUACAUUAUUAUAUAUUACAUGAAUCAAUUAGUUUGUUUUUAUAUUAAUAUAUAACAAAAUGUUGAAUAAAAAAAAGCACAUUCUUUUACAACUUCUAAUUACUAAACACAAUAUAUUAUUUGCCAUGUAUAAUAAUCAUUUUAAAUAUAAUAAAAUCAUUUUAACUUAUACAAAUCCCAAAUAUGGACCGCCCACCUAAAUUCCAAAAAACAUUGGUGUAUGUCAUUUUUAGCAAAAUCAUCAAAAAUAUGGAAGUCGAUUUGGACACGACUGUUGGAUAUAAAGUAGUUUUUGAGUGUCUUCGAGCAUCUAAUUCUCAAAAAAAUUUCGACCAUCACAUAUCUCAUGUAGAAUACUGAACUAUCAUUUGUUACCGUCUAAUGAUUCAUCUAUUUCCGAUUGACGAGAUAUGUCCAGUUUGCCGCAAAGCAUAUUUGGACACUUUUAGGAAACAUGUGGUUCAUUGUAGAGAGUUCUCUGGUUUCAAGUGCCGACAUGAUAUGGUUAGGGAUGUUCUCUUUGAUGUUUGUCGGCGUGUUGGUAUUUUCGUGAAAAAAGAAGUGUUCGUAAAUUUUUUCACGGACCGGCUAACAUUUUGAUUUUUGGAUUGAUAGGAGGGAAGCACUUUGUGUGGAUCUCACUGGGAUCUCCCCUCUCGUCGGUUUGAGGCGCAGGGGUUUCACAACGUGGCAUGCUGUUUUGAAAGCCGCUGAAUGCAAAGUGGCAAAGCACGAUAAUGUAUGCAUUGAAAAUCGAUAUGUGUUUAUACCUUUAUCAUUUGAUCUUUUUGGUUUUCUCGCACCAAAAGCAGUGAAGCUUCUCAAUAGAGUCCAACGGGUCAUACAUUCUAAUGUUAUAUCUCCGAAUUUUAUAGAUGUUAUUUUCAAAAGAAUUAGUUUUGUCAUCCAAAAAGGACUAGCGGUAUAACUUGUUGUCAAUUUACCUUCCAACAAUAUGUAUCGACUUUUUUAUCAUCAUAAUUUAUCUAAUACUCAUAGAAGUUUAUCUUCACAAAUGGCCAGUUUUUCGAAACGAAAAUGGUCAAAGUCAAAGUCGAUUUAGAGUUCUGAUUUGGAUUUUUUUUCCACAGCCGGCGGCUAAAAAAGAAAGUAAUUUAAGAGACACAUGUUGUGCAUAUUCUAUCACAUGCACUUUUUAUAUAAAAACAUAUAAAACAAAACCUAAACGUAAUGUCUGAACAGCUCCUUCUCAUAUAUUAACCUAAUAUUGGCAAUUUCAUUCAAAACGCAUAUGGUAAAAGAUCGUAAAUGACACCAUCGAAAGUUCCAUCAUAUUAUUAAAAACAGCAUAAUCAUAACCCCCCCAACUCUGCCCUUUGCUGCUUCAUCUUGUAAAAAGUCCAUUUUUCAAGGGAUAUUUACGUUUCUUUGUUGGACAUUUUAAUCAUCUUUCCUGCAAAUCAAAGAAUAUAUUAUACAACACCUUCAACACAUAGUUAAAGAUGGGGAAUGAUUAAUGAAAAGAGUAAUUCAUACUUUGAAAGCCUCUGCUUCUUCAACAACUUCAUAGUUGUCCCUCCUCUGGCCAACCUGUGAAAAUCUUGGAUUUUCUCCAUAUCCAUAACCUCCCUGACCUCCUUGUCCGUAUUGUCCAAUACCACCACCUCCUUGCCCAAAUUGUCCACCACCACCGCCUCCUUGUCCAUAUUGUCCAGUGCCCCCUUGACCAUAAUUGCCACCACCACCCCCUUGUCCAUAUUGUCCAGGGACACCGCCUUGACCAUAACUUCCACCACCACCACCUCCUUGUCCAUAUUGUCCAGUGCCACCUUGACCAUAAUUUCCAACACCACCUCCACCUCCUUGUCCGUAUUGUCCACCUGCAGCUUGAUUAUAACUUCCACCGCCUGGUUGUCUAUAUUGUCCUCCAUAACCACCACCACCGCCUCCUCCUCCACCUUGGCCAUAUUGUCCUUCAGUUCCUUGUCUGUAGCUUCCACCACCUCCUUGGUUGUAGCCUCUUUCAGGUUGCUUGAAAGUAGAGUUCCUUGGAUCCAUUUGAGGAUAAUCUACCUGCUGCUUACUGGGGUCAACAUUUCUCCCAUCUACUUGGUUGUAAUUUGACUGAUAAGAAGGCAUGGGGCCUCUUCUAUCUCCUGCAUAAUCACCCUGUCCUCCAGGCGGACCAUUCUGCCCCAUUCCACCUCUUGGAGGUCUAUUGUAAUCUCUAUUUCGAUCACUAUACCUUCCUCCUUGUCUUCCAUAUUGUACAGGAGGUGGUCGUGGAAUUAUAGUUCCAUUGAUAUACUUGUCUCCUGAAAUUAAUGCUCAAAAAUCAUUUUUUGUUCACCAAAUUGUCAUAACAAAACUAGACCUUACCUCCAUAUUCUUUGUUUACAGGAUCGAUAUAUGAAUCAGGCAGUAUAAAAACAACCCCAGGUAAACCUGUUCAAGCAAGAGUGAGAUCGUUUACAUCAAUGAACACCAUCAACUAUGAAAAGACAUACCUUGAAACUGCUCGGAAACUUCCUCUGAUACUUGGAUCUGAAAUCCAUGGUAAAUAGUUGUGCUGCAAGCAUAGAUUUUCUUUUUUGCCUCUUCCACGCUGAAAUUAAAAAAAUAUUAGACUAAGUAAUACGCCAAAACCCUAUCUCGUAGAAGGAUCAUACUAUAAGUGCACUUAAACACGCGAUCAAAGGAAGAUACGACCUUCCAAGGACUUUGGCGGCAGUUUGGACGUAUGUUUCCACCAUCUCUUCUGGAGAUGGUUUCGGAUCUUUAGGGAAAUCCAUGGUAAUCAGCCAGUGCUCGUAAUCGCAUCCCUCGAAUAGUACAUCAUCUGGAUUGAUCUGAUCACCACCCAUGUCAACAUUGUUGUGUCUAGGUCGAGAAGAAAAGGCCCUUGAAGAUAUGAAUUGGAAGGAAAGAUUACUGGGCUUUGACUGUUUGACAUCAAAUAUGCUAGGGUUUUGUUGAGUGAUAGAGGGGGAGGAACUUGGUGCGACGGAUGGUAGGACGGAAAAGAAAUUCUUGUGAUUGAAGAUAGAUGACGUGAGAGCGAGUGAUCGCCGGAGUCGGAGAGCGUUCGCCGCCAUCAGUGGUGGUGCAGAGCCAGAAAUCGGGAGAUAACUAGGGUUUAUCCUUCAGGGUUUAACAGAUUUUGAGACCAUUCCACGUCUAUAUACUCCAUUUAAGGUUUAGUACAUAAAUGAUCCGUGAUCUAUGCACAUAUUGCUUUUUUAGUACCUAUAGCUCAAAAUUUCCUAUUUUAGUUUGCCUAACGCAAAUAGGGCGGUAGAGCUCUAUUUUGAGUAAAAAAUGUUAUUAUAUAUAUGGGGAUAGGGAAUAUACAUUACAGCCCCACCUAAGCUUAGGUACUAAACCUCUAAAAUAUGUCGUUUUAACAUGCUAAAUAUACCCGGUUUGGUUUCACUUGGUAAAUAUAUCAUUCUCCAUAACAUUUCUUUCUUUCAUUAUCGUUUUAUCAUCUCCGUUUUCUUUUCUCAAUUAUCGUUUAUUACAUCAUCCAAGUGAACAUUAGUAAACCCUAAACCUAAACCUAAACUCUAAAUUUAAACCCUAAACACUAAAGCUAAACCCUAAACCCUAAACCCUAAACUUUAACCCUAAACCCUAAACCCUAAACCCUAAACCCCAAACAUAAACCUAAACCCUAAACCUUAACCCUAAACCCUAAACCGUAAACCCUAAACCGUAAACCCUAAACAUAAACCUAAACCCUAAACCCUAAACCCUAAUCUCUAAACCCUAAACCCUAUUGUGUCGAUCUUGAAUUUACAUCUUGAAGUAUUAAUCGUGAAUCCAUUAACCGUAAUCUUUAUAUAGUAAAACAAUGUAUUUUCAAGAGGUUUAGUACCUAAGCUUAGGUGGGGCUGUAAUGUAUAUUCCCUUUUCCCUAUAUAUAUAUAUAUAUAUAUAUAUAUAUAUAUAUAUAUUGUGACAAACCGAAAUUUUUUAUCUUGUAAAUUCAGCCAAUCAACCAAAAGUCAGACUUAAUUCCAUUACCUGCUAGCUUUGUUAAGGGUCAUUCUAAUGAGUUCUAAGCCUAGUACACUCAAGGGUUGAGUGUGAGGGAGUAUUAGCUCGAGAUCAGAAGGCUUCACCUGAACUAGAGAACCAAACAUUUGAGGUUCACGACCGCAAACCUAGUUCACGGCCGUGAACUCUCUUAUGGUUGUGAACUUUCCCCAAUAUGUAUAGAUUUCCCUCAUUUCUUCAUCAUUCUUCACAAUCCAAACUCAAGAACUUCCAUUCUCUCUCAAGUAUCAUGAAUAAUUACUUCCAUUUCUCGUCUAAAUCGUAAGUGAUUCUUCCUUUUGUUCCUUGAUAUCCUUCAUGAUCUAGUACAACCCUAUGAUUUUAUCCAUGAAUUCACCACUUUUGUCUAGAUCUUCAAGAUCAUCAACUUUCACCAANAUAUAUAUAUAUAUAUAUUAAAGUCUUGAAAGAUUUUAACAGUAAAGUUUCAACUUCUGACUUUUGCCACUAAUGUUUUAACUUUUGAAUUCUUACUUCAAAUGUGGCAUUUUUUGUCGAUACCCAGAUUUUGUGUCCCCGUUUAUGUAUUUCAUAUUUAUUUUCCAGAUCCUUCCACAACCUUUGUCGGGUUACGUUUCCCAAUCCUUCCAUCCCUCUCUUCGUCAUGGAUAUUCUCGAUUUUGUUUGCUUUGUCUCAAACGAGAACGUCUCCUUCCUCAUUCCACAAAGUGUCGAACCCGUUCCGUCCGCCGCCCACCACCUCUCCGGAUACAGCCUCAAGCAGAGCUUUCGAUACUGUUUUUUCGAUCGUCUCCACUGCUCUCUUCCCUAAACACUUUCAAAUAAAAAUAGGAAGAAAUGGAAGGUGAAUUCAUGUUUGGCUUCGAUUUUGAAGGUAUGUACCCAAGUGAGCCCUAAUUUUUUAUCCAAUCAUGCCAUCAACCAUAUUUGAGUGAAACUGGGGUAAAGCUUUAUAGGUCCACUCCACUAACUUUAGUAAAGAGCCGCUUGAACUCAAAACGGAUUCGAAAAUGGGGGCGAUUAAAGGCGGUGAAAUGGUUUACAUGAUAUAUAGAGUUGUCACAUAUGGUCUAUCACCGCUGAUAAAUCUUCAUCUCCGAUGGUGCAAGUUCUGAGGCCUCGAGCAUCCUCUCCGGUGGCCGAAACGCCUCGGUCGACUGUCUCUCCCUUGGCUCCCUUACUUGAGCGGUUCUUUUACAGGGUAACAUUUCAAUCCUAAUAUUUGUAUCUAAGGUUGCACACGAAGUGUUUGUGAUAUUGCUUCAUUAAAUAGAGAAAUAGUUGAAUACCCCCAAACUUUCUUUGAUCGGUGGUUUGGGCAUUGGCCAAUGACCCCCCAUUGAGGGAUGCCCUACUAUGUUUCAAACCAUAUGCAACUUACCACCUGGUUACCAUCAGGUUAGUUCUUCGAUACUUCAAACAUUUAGGGUUCUUAGUUCUCAAGAUUAAUAACUGAAUCUUCAUAAUCAUAGUUUACCUCAUCUUGCAGUAUAAAUUCAUUGUUGAUGGUGAAUGGAGGCAUGAUAAGCACCAACCUUUUGUAACUGGUAAUUAUGGUGUUGUGAAUACCAUACUCUUAGCUAGGGAGCCAGACUUCACUCCUUCAGCCUUGACCCCACAUACCACUUCUGGUUCAAGCAUGGAUGCAGACAAUGAGGUAUAUUAACUAUAAAAUCUUUCAUCACAAUAUUAUUUCCACUUAUUUUCUAUAUGAGUCUAGGGUGACAUUAACUUAUGAUUUGUUAUCCUAAAACAAGGAAAUAUGGAGCAGGAUGUAACCCCAGAUAAGAACUCACAGACUGGCCGUGGUGGAAGACAGCCGGAUUAAGCAGAAAAUUCCUGACAAUCAACUGACGGUUGAUGCUAAGGUCUGUAUUCUUCAGAUAAUGCAACUUUUAACUUGGAAAAAAUAAGUUUAUUUGAUUAAAGAAGCCAAAUAUUGCCAUUUAUUCAAUAACUUGACUGAGUAAGCAGAAAAAAAAGGUAAUUAAAUUUAUUAUGUAAACAAAGAAAGUAUUUAUUUAUUUAUUUUAUUCGCGAUUGUUUGGCUUAGUUAUAUACCAAAGACAUUACCCCUUAUGAUAACCAAGAACUGGAUGAAUCUUUACGUAGAGAAGUAAGUAACACUAAUCCAGAUCCAAAUCCAACAUCUAGAUUAUCUUUAUAAGAUCUUUAUGAUGAUUACUUGGUGUUAUACUGUUAUGUGAAUUGCAGAUUGAAGCUGCUUUUCAUACAAAUGAAAUUAGAAGGACUCUACCAACUCCACAAGAUGAAAUGAGAGCUGGAAUGAGUUACUUCCAUGAAACAAUCUGGAAAGGUGUCCCUAAAUUCUUAAGACGUGUUGACACUGCUCUUAAGAACAUUGGAAUCAAUGAGCGAGAUCCCUAUAAUGCCCCUAUGAUUCAGUUCUCUACAUGGAUGGGUGGUGAUCGUCAUGGAAAUCCUAGGGUUACCCCUGAAGUAACCAGAGAUAUUUGCUUGCUUGCAAGAAUGAUGGCUGCAAACAUGUACUUUUGUAACAUCCGGAUUUUCAGGGUUAUUAUUGUGUAGGCUAAUCUUUUGAUUAAAUGAGAGACUCGACAAGUUGAGGAUCCAACUCGCCGAGUCGAGUCGGGUUUCUCACGCGGAUUUAAUGAGUGGACUCAACGAGUCAGAGGAAGGACUCGCCGAGUAGGUGUUGGGCAAAGAAACCCUAAUUUCUCGGGUUUGGGACCUAUUUAAAGGUCCUUAUGGCCUUCAUUUGCGGCUACCACACCCUGAGAAACCAUAGAGAGCAGAGAGGAAGCUUGUAGUGUAAGAGGAAGGCUAAUUCAUCAUCCUUUGGAGUGUCUUAGAAAAGGGAAGGAAGGAUUUCGAGUUGGGCUGUCUUGUGGGACUCAAAUCUUCCAUCAUUUCGUUCAGAGCUGCUGUGAGAGGUAAGGAUUCAUGUCCAUCUGCGUUUGUUUAGUAGAUUUCAUGAAUCUAGGGUUUCUUCAUGCUUUAUUUAGCAUGAAUCUAGAGUAUGAGAGGUCCCAUGGUAAAAUGAUUCCUAGAUCUGGACCUUAAGAGGUCCAGAGAGUCCCUUCCAUUAUGCUUUAUGCCUUUUCCUUGGAGUUAUGAGCUAGGGUUGUCAUGAUAUGAAGGAUUUCACCAAAAUAAGCAUAAAGAGCCUUGCAUGUGUACAAAGAUUCGACCUUUACGUAGUUAUUGGUCGUAAGGAAGCCAUAUCUAUGGAUUAGAGGAACAGAUCUGACCUCAAAAGGUCAGAUGAGUGUUGUCAUUGGAGCAACUCGCCGAGUCCAUGGGAAAACUCGACGAGUCGAGUCGGGUUGCCCCGCGAUUCGAUUGCAGUGGAAACCCGUCGAGUGAAAGGUUCACUCGACGAGUCGAGUGAGGCCUUAGAGGAGUCGGGUGACACGCAUGGACCCGCCGAGUCACUCUUGUGCACUCGACGAGUCUGGUCAGAGUUGAUCGUUGACUUGAAUUGACUUCUGUUAACUUUGGGGUUUUUGUCAACAUGAGUAAUAAAGCUCAUAGAGGGGUAAAAUGGUAUUUUACCCACUACCCAAUUAGAGAAGGAAAGAGAAAUUGUCGGUUUAAUUAGAGAUAUUUGCCUUAUGUGUUAGGCGGUGGCGAGUUCGAGAUUCAAGUGUAAGGAUAACUGCUUUCUGCUUUCAGGUGAGUCUUCUCACUAUACUUUUACUUAGAGUAGUAAUUAGAGUUACAUGACAGAGUAUCUUGUAUGCUAUUAUGUGAUUGUGAUACACUGCAUUAUUUCUAUGAGAUUCAUGCAGUGUAUGUUCCAGAGUUUACAGAGUUGGAACCGGAAGGUUCACAGAGUUAGGACCAGAGGGUCCACAGAGUUAGGACCGGAGGGUCCACAGAGGUAUAGCCUCGAGGGGCUAGUAUGUGUUAUGUGUGGUAUUUUGGGGAACUCACUAAGCUUCGUGCUUACCGUGUUAUGUGUUAUGUGUUAUGUGUUUCAGGUUUUCUCAGGAUCACGGGACGACACCAACUCGAUUGUACACACCAGAGGAAGAGUUAUGUUUUAGAGGAUCCUGGAUUAUUAUUUAAUUGAUUAUGGAGUUAUGUUUUGUAAUUUAAACAAAAUGAGAUUUUUACGAAAAGUGUUUUAAGAAUUAAGCGAAUUUAAAUGAAAAUUUUAGUUUUGAAAAUUACGGUGUUACAAGAUGGUAUCAGAGCCUUGGUUUCGGGUAAAUCUGGACUCAAACUGAGGAUUUGAGAAAAUUUUCAAAAGAGAUGAUUUUACUAGAGCGAAUAAGAGUUUCAAAGAGAAAGUGAGAAAGGGAAGUGUGUACAAUCAGACAGAGCUCGAACGGUGAUUCCCCAAAAUACCCUACUUUUAUGUUAUGAGAUAUUUAUGAGACAUUGUAUGAGAUAUUAUGCAUGCUAGAGACAGGCUAGGUGAUAGUUGCAAUUUUAGCUAUAUUUUUAUGCUUGAUUUUUAUUAUUUAUUAGCUAUUUAUUUGCAUAUUAGGGACAAAAGAUACUUAAAAGUGUGUGAAUUGUGUUUUCAGUCCAAAAAGAAUGUUUGGGAGCAAAAAGAAGCAGGAGUACUCAUUGGGAAGCUUUGGAAUGAUCAAAAGAAGAAAAGGCCAAAAAAAUUGAAGGGACUCGGCGAGUCGUGUCGACGACUCGACGAUUCGAUACGAAGAUUCGAGAAGCUAAGGAGUUCUUGACUUACCGUGCACGGGAAUUAAGGGAUGGACUCGACGAGUCGGUCAUGGACUCGACGAGUCGGGUCGAAUCUAUAAAAAUGACUUUUCAGAUCGACACAAGGAAUUCUGGAGAACCCUUGGGGAGAAAAGCUGUGAAUAAAAGUCAGAGAAGACCUAGAGAACGAAGAUCCAACCCUAAAUCCGAUUCUGAAGGAGAUUAGAGGCAAUUUUCAUUACUUUCAAUUCAAUCUAUUAUUUCCAGCAUGUAUAGACAUAUAGAUUUUGUGUUUAUGCUUUCAAUUGCCUCAAUCAUGAGCUAAAAACUUUUAACUUCUGUUUGGGGAGACAAUAUUGAGACUAUGGUUUGAUUGGUGGUAGGAUUAGUUUAAUGUUGGUGAUUUUGUUAAUCUUAGCUUGUUAAAGAACCUUAUGUGUGAAUGAUAAUUGUUUUUCUGUUAAUAGGAAGAGAAUUAAGCUGCAUGAACAUCUCUUAAUUGUUUACCUCAUAUAAUUCAUGUGACCACUUUAUUAUAUGACUAGGAUUAGCUAAUGUGAAACUAGAAUUAAUAGGAAAAUAGGUAAAUUCACGUGUGAGCUUGUGUGAUGACCAUCAACAAGAGGUUAACUAAAGGGACAAUUUAGUUGACCAUUACAAGUAUAAAUUAACCCGAAUAAAUAACCUAGGAAAUUAAAGUAAAUUAGACAACUGGUCAUUGUUUGAGUUAGUUUGUUUUCUAAGGAUUAGUGUAGCGAAUUUGAACCUAAUCACUUGAAUCGGUAGCCAAUAGAACAACUAAUCCAUUGCACUAUUACCAUAAAAUCAACCAUAGGAUCAAUUGAGUUGAACCUAAACAGAAGUUUCCUUCAGUAUUGAAUUUAGUUGAAUCUUUUCUUUCCUAGUUUCUAGUUAAUUAGUUUAAUUAUUAGUUAGUAAGUUUCUAGUCUUGCAAAGCUAGAGAAAACAAUCUCUUUUAUUAUUUGUUAGUGGCCUUUAGAUAAUUUUAGUAAUUCGUUCAAAUUGUCGUUCCCUGAGUUCGAUACCCUGCUUACUAGAUCUAUUCCACCAAUUGACAAGUCCAUUGCCUUUUGUGUGAUUAAUUACAUUUUAUAAGUAGGAAUAAAACUAGUUGGUUUUACACACAUCACUAGGUAUUUCAUAUUUUAGGACUAGAGUGGCGUCAUUUGUGACGCCUUAGCCUAGGGUUGUUGUUAUAUGUGAUGUGCUUUCGAGUAUGUGUUGUGUAAGAGUGUCCAACAGGAAUCCUUUUAGGGGAUUCAAGUAGAGGAGUAAUCUAGAAGAGGUAUCUAUAUAAGCAUAUGAGGAGCCUGCCGAGAGGGUAGCCAGAUGCCCACGUGGGGCGGAGUUGUUAGAGUCGGUGAUAUCCUUCAAGUUUAUGGACGGCGAGUAGAUAAUAACCUAAGGAGGUUUUACGUGCUAAAGGAGAUGCUUCGAUGCAUGAAUGCUUGCUUUGUGCUUUGUGGAACUCUCGACGAUGGGAGUCAGCUACUAAGUGAGUAUGACGAUAUUCAGGAGGUAGAUGGCUGGAAUCAUUAAGAGUUCAUCAGCAGCUGAUGGUGGAGAAGUGUGAGAACCUAGGAAGAGCCUAGGGAGUAGCGUUAGUCAGAUGAGUACGCUGGCAUAGUAGAGCAUUUCGCCGAGGAGCAAGCACGCGUGACGGGAUUGGUGAACGAGAAGGUUGAGCUGCUACUUAGGAGCUCUGGGAUGGUCCGUGUGGAAAGUAUGGGUAGAUGUGGCAAGUAGUAUGGGCCCGUACUACCGAAAGUAGAGGAGCCAUACUCGAUACAGGGAGUAUUCUAAAGGUUCUAAGUAGCAUAUUGAGGAGUGAUGUUAUGGUUCGAGUACCAUACAUCGUAGCAAAUUGAGGAGUGAUGUUAUGGUUCGAGUACCAUACAACGUAGCAGAUUGAGGAGUGAUGUCAUGGUUCGAGUACCAUGCAUCAUAGCAGAUUGAGGAGUGAUGUUAUGGUUCGAGUACCAUACAUCGUAGCAGAUUGAGGAGUGAUGUUAUGGUUUGAGUACCAUACAUCUUAGCAGAUUGAGGAGUGAUGUUAUGGUUCGAGUACCAAGCAUCGUAGCAGAUUGAGUAGUGAUGUUAUGGUUCGAGUACCAAGCAUCAUAGCAGAUUGAGGAGUGAUGUUAUGGUUCGAGUACCAAGCAUCAUAGCAGAUUGAGGAGUGAUGUUAUGGUUCAAGUACUAUAUAUCAUUGCAGAUUGAGGAGUGAUGUCAUGGUUCGGAUACCAUGCAUCAUAGCGGAUUGAGAAGUGACGUCAUGGGCUGAGUACCAUGCUUCGUAGCAAAUGAUGCUCGUGGUUCUCCGGUUAUCCGGUUAUGAUUGAUUAGGUGGAGAUUGGACACAAUGGAGUUUUAGUCCUGAGGGUCAUGAUUGAGUCCGAAGAGGCAUCCCUUGAGAAGGAGGUAGAGAGCAUUUCAAAGUAUUUUUGGUAAGAUGUCAAAUGUAGUCGCAAGACUCAAGGAUGAGUAGAGAUGGCAGUUAUGGAGGAUCGUGGCAUGAGUUGAGCAAUCAGCCGAUGGUGGAAAUGUCAUUUUCUGUGACCUGAGUGGUGUUAUUUUUGUUCCUGUGGGAAACAGGAGAGGUCUUGAGAUUUUUGGUUUCCAAGGAUGGGGGUGAGCCCUGUGGGGUGGCUUUGGUUACAAUCUUUCAUCAGAGUAUUUAGGCAGUAUGUCUGCCGAGAGGUAAUGUUAGAGCCUGAGCAAGGUAUCAGCGGAGACCGAGAUGGUUAAGGACAAGGAUACACCCUAUCUGAGCAUAGUAGGGCAUGUAUUAGCUGCAGCGGCAGACGAUCAAGAAGAGGAUAUUGGGGCGGUGGCUCUUAUUGUCUAUGAUGAGUAUCGAGUGUGGUAACGAGGAAUCCACUCUUAUUACGACCCACAUGAUGGAACGUUGGCUGAAGAGUCGAGGAUGAGGAAUAUGUAGUUCGUGAUUUUCAGACUAAGAGUCAGGGUUACGAAUGGACAGUUGAUAUGUCCAGUAGUGGGAUGGUACGAGAUUCUGAAUGACUAGAGGUAGUCAUGAUGAGAAGUUUCUGAGGACUUCAUUGCAGAUUUGGAGAAUUUGGAAUUACUUGACCUCCAUCAGGGAGAUCAUCAAGCAAUGCGUAUCACCUUCCAAGAGUAAGUGUGAUGUUAUUGGUAAAAACAGUCUGUGGGUUAGACUGUUGGCAAACCAAUUGGUGAUAGAUCAAACCCUAAGUGGGGGAGAACUGAGUACUUUUGAGGAGAUCUGAGAAUUGUUCAAGAGCGAUUAGAGAACUGGAUAGAGAGGCCUGCGGUGCGAAUUCCUGAGACCAGAGUUAUUGGUGGUCAAGGAGAGGUGCAGAGCGAGAUAAUGCAUGUAGUACGUGUUUGAGAAAGGAUGAGUGUCUCCACGGCAAGUGGCCGUUGGUCGGAGACCCUAUAGUGGUUAGGAAUCCUUCAAGGUUAAAAUGGUGAAAUCGAGGUGGUUGGCUUGCGAGGUUAGUUCGACGGUUGAGAAUUUCUAGUUCAGAGUAUGGGCUAUUAUAUGCAAUAUGGGAAGGAAAGAAGUUGAUUGGGCGACCAACCUUAGGGUCGGUCGGUGUAUUCUUGCAUGUGUUUUGAGCAAUAAAGGAGGGAGUUUCAGAUGGUUGUCAUCAUGUUCCGAGUCAUUGUCGAUUCAUCAGUGUUUCGAUUGAGAGUUGGGAUACUCCGAAGUUGCGCAUUGUGUGAAAUGAAGGAUAGUUAUGAUAUCCUGAGGGAAUGCAUGGGGGUAUCCGAGUAUGAUGUCCUGAAUUUCGAUUUAUAUUAGAGUCGUGAAUUUGAGGCGGCAAGUGGUGAAUUAAGUAUCUACGGUUCCAGUGGGAGCCCUUCGGGUAUUUCCAUCAAGAGGGAUUAUUUAAGAAUAUGGAUCUCAGCAGGGAAGGUAUUUUGUUAUGGCGGUCGCCGUCAGAGUCUGUGAUGCAUAUUUGGGUCAAGUGUAUGUAGCUAUUUAUGAUAGUCUGCAAAGCAUGAGUUAGUGGACGUAGUGUGGUGUUGUAGUGAGAAUGAGAUUAUGGGGUGGAUAGAGAGGGUGUUGUGAUGCUACGGGGAGUCGUAGUACUCGCAAGUCAGAGAGAGGGAGUUGUGAUACUACGAGGAGCCGUAGUAUUCACUAGUCAGAGGGUGUUGUGAUGCUACGGGGAGUUGUAGUACUCACAAGUUAGAGAGAGGGAGUUGUGAUACUACGGGGAGCCGUAGUAUUCACUAGUCAGAUGGUGUUGUGAUGCUACAGGGAUCCGUAGUACUCACUAGUCAGAGGUUGUUGUGAUGAUACGAGGAGUUGUAAUACUUACUAGUCAUCGAGAGGUCAUCAUGAUGCUGCGGGGAGCAAUAAUACUCACUAGACGAUAAGAGAGGGUGAUGAUGAAGUGAUCUACAAUCAGAGUAUGAUGCAGAAGGGUUUUAGGCUUGAGUAGCCCUAGUAUUGAGUUUUUGGAGCCUGGUGGUUGGACCAGGGGCGAGACUGGGGUCUCCGUCUUUUUCGGAAAUCGCUAUAUUCCGAAUUGAGUGGUGGUUUGCGCGCAGGUUGCGAGUCAUGAGUUUUGAGGUGAGUGUUUCACUGGGAUGAGUAGUUCCAACUUUGGGGCAGACCAAACUCUCAAGUUGAGUUUGGCUCUGGUGAUGCGUCAGGUAGGCGGGUUGAGUUUCAGAUUUAGACAUGGAUUACGUGUUAAGAAGGGGGUUAUUGUUGUCACUAAUAUCUUAGACCUGAGCAGGGUCAGUUCGAGGGCCUUUAUCUGGCGAUGCGAGAAGGAACUCAGUGAGACAUUUUGGAUCAUGUUAUGGGUAACCAUGGAGGUUCAACUAUUGGGUUGAGGUCAGACCUCAUGUGAUGUUAAAAGAGAUAUGGAAUGUGGAGCUGAGGUUUAUGAAUGUGAUGUUUGAGGACACUUCUGAGCGAGCAUGGUUAUGCUUUUGUGUCUAAGGUCAGAGUGUUGGGGAUUCUUUGUUCAGAUGGUUUCUGAUAGCAGUCUAGUAGAUGUGCCACGGUGGAGUGUGAGCCCUUUAUUUCGUGGGGCGUGAUUCGUAUGAUUUAGCAUGAUCGGCUUGGAGGAGAGAUAGCCGGUUGUUGGAUGUGGUCUUAUGAGAAUCAGAGAGCCAGUGAGGAAACUGGGUUGAUAUUCGAGGAGCAAAUAUCAUGGUGAUCGCUCAAGUAGGCGGGCUGGCGGAGGGUCAGGCCACUAGAGUUUCUGGUUAUUGGGAAGGAGUAUUUUAGCGGCGAAAGAGUUGGUUUAAACUCUGGUUUUGGAGGUUCUAUGUGGUUUCGGGUGUCCAUAGAUAAAGACAUCAGUGUGGUAUCAAGAUCAUUUUGGUAGUGCCUUUCGGGUUAAUGAUUUAAUCUAUGUGUGGUUAAAGAAUGAUUUCGAGGGCGAAAUCUAAUUCAAGUGGGGGAGAAUUGUAACAUCCCGAAUUUUCAGGGUUAUUAUUGUGUAGGCUAAUCUUUUGAUUAAAUGAGAGACUCGACGAGUUGAGGAUCCAACUCUCCGAGUCGAGUCGGGUUUCUCACGCGAAUUUAAUGAGUGGACUCGACGAGACAGAGGAGGGACUCGCCGAGUAGGGGCUGGGCAGAGAAACCCUAAUUUCUCGGGUUUGGGACCUAUUUAAAGGUCCUUAUGGCCUUCAUUUGCGGCUACCACACCCUGAGAAACCAUAGAGAGCAGAAAGGAAGCUUGUAGUGUAAGCGGAGGGCUAAUUCAUCAUCCUUUGGAGUGUCUUAGCAAAGGGAAGGAAGGAUUUCGAGUUGGGCUGUCUUGUGGGACUCAAAUCUUCCAUCAUUUCGCUCAGAGUUGUUGUGAGAGGUAUGGAUUCAUGUCCAUCUGUGUUUGUUUUGUAGAUUUCAUGAAUCUAGGGUUUCUUCAUGCUUUAUUUAGCUUGAAUCUAGAGUAUGAUAGGUCCUAUGGUGAAAUGAUUCCUAGAUCUGGACCUUAAGAGGUCCAGAGAGUCCCUUCCAUUCUGCUUUAUCCCUUUUCCUUUGAGUUAUGAGCUAGGGUUGUCAUGAUAUGAAGGAUUUCACCAAAAUAAGCAUAGAGAUCCUUGCAUGUGUACAAAGAUUCGACCUUUACGUGGUUAUUGGUCGUAAGGAAGCCAGAUCUAUGGAUUAGAGGAACAGAUCUGACCUUAAAAGGUCAGAUGAGUGUUGUCAUGGGAGCAACUCGCCGAGUCCAUGGGAAGACUCGACGAGUCGAGUCGGGUUGCCCCGCGAUUCGAUUGCAGUGGAAACCCGUCGAGUGAGGACUUAGAGGAGUCGAGUGACACGCAUGGACCCGCCGAGUCACUCGUGUGCACUCAACGAGUCUGGUCAGAGUUGACCGUUGACUUGAAUUGACUUCUGUUGACUUUGGGGUUUUGGUCAACAUAAGUAAUAGACCUCAUAGAGGGAUAAAAUGGUCAUUUACCCACUACCCAAUUAGAGAAGGAAAGAGAAAUUGUCGGUUUAAUUAAAGAUAUUUACCUUAUGUGUUAGGCGGUGGCGAGUUCGAGAUUCAAGUGUAAGGAUAACUGCUUUCUGCUUUCAGGUGAGUCUUCUCACUAUACUUUUACCUAGAGUGGUAAUUGGAGUUACAUGACAGAGUAUCUUGUAUGCUAUUAUGUGAUUGUGAUACACUUAUUAUUGCUAUGUGAUUCUUGCCGUGUAUGUUCCAGAGUUUACAGAGUUGGAACCGGAAGGUUCAUAGAGUUAGAAUCGGAAGGUCCACAUGUGACAACCUGACAAUUUUACACUGAGCAAUCGAUCCAUAUAUCUAUAAUUCACUUGAAUUUAGCAUGUUUUAAUAGUAUAUUGAGUCCGCGCUAGUGUUUUAGGCUUAAUAUAUCAUAGAUAUGGACCUUGGGAAGGAUUAGGAAGGGUGUUGCAUCACUAAAUCUAGCCAAACACACCAAGAUAGGUGUGUGCGGCCAAGCCAGGCACACACCCAGCAGCAAACCCCUCCAGCCUCACACUCAACCCUAUAUAAAGGGGAGGACCCUCUUUCAUUCACUUUUGGCUGCAUCCUUUCUCUCUCUAUACUUUCUCACUCUAAAAAACCACCCAAGAACACCAAGAAGGCUCCCAAAACGUGAAGAACACCAUCAUUUAGCUUAUCAUAGAGGUAAAACACUUGAAUCCAAGCCUCAAACUCAUAAUGUUCUUCAUCCUAUGAAGGAGUGCGGCCGCACACCUUCAUCAGGUGGCCACACACACUCAUAAUACCCUCCAAAGUGAGAGUAAAGCCACAAAAUCAUCACAUGGGACUCAAGCAAGGAGUGUACAACCGCACACCCCUGUGUACGGCCGUACACUCUAGUGUGCAGCCUCACUCUAGUGUGCAGCCUCACUCACAAGGGCAAAAUCAGAGUUCAUUGAGGUAUUCUUCGGAUUCCUUCUGUUUUAUGAUUUAAACCUCCAUUAGAACACUUUUAGGGCUAGUUUGAUGUAUUUCCCAAACCCUAUAGUUGUAUGGAUGCCUUAAUAGGUCGAGAUAUCCUUAAAUCUGUUCAUUUAGGAGUUGUAGAGCCCGGAUCUAUUGCCUUUUUGAAGACACUUUGCAUGAGAACCCUAGAUCUAGCCUUUAUUAUGCUUUUUGAGCCAUUUUAUCUUCAUGGAUGCAUAUGGGCACGUAAAGAUAGAAUCUUUACGUGCUAAUCGAGUUAAGGGAGCCCAGAUCUAUAAGUUUUAUACACUGGAUUCAAGCAUAAUCGAGUUUAGAGUUGCUGCAUGCAAGCGACUCGGCGAGUCGGAAGAACGACUCGGCGAGUCGAGUUGUGGGUCCCCGAUUUUUCCCUUUUGAGUGAUGCCGAGUGGGGACCAGUGAGUAGUAGAGUAGACUCAGCGAGUCGGAGGUCAGACUCAGUAAUGCAGGGACUUGGCGAGUUGUUCAUACAACUCGGCGAUUCCAAGGCAAUCUUCUUAGCUCGAAGAACAACUCGUCGAGUUGUUCAUACGACUCGGCGAGUCGGAUGCAGAUUGCCUGAGUUUUAGAUUCGAAAGGGAACUCGUCGAGUUGAUGCCAUACUCGACGAGUAGCAGCGAGUAGGGUUGAGAAGUGAGAAUAGGGACUCGGCGAGUUGGCGGCCCAACUCGGCGAGUCAGGUCAACUGUAGGUUGACUUUGACCAGGAGAGUUGACUUUGACCAAGGGUAAAAGAGUCAUUUUACCCCAGUGCAGUGAUUAGCAUUUGAUUGAGUGUGUUAUGGAUUUGUAGCCGGGGAGAUACCGGAGCAGCAGCAGUUAGCUUCCAGANNNNNNNNNNNNNNNNNNNNNNNNNNNNNNNNNNNNNNNNNNNNNNNNNNNNNNNNNNNNNNNNNNNNNNNNNNNNNNNNNNNNNNNNNNNNNNNNNNNNNNNNNNNNNNNNNNNNNNNNNNNNNNNNNNNNNNNNNNNNNNNNNNNNNNNNNNNNNNNNNNNNNNNNNNNNNNNNNNNNNNNNNNNNNNNNNNNNNNNNNNNNNNNNNNNNNNNNNNNNNNNNNNNNNNNNNNNNNNNNNNNNNNNNNNNNNNNNNNNNNNNNNNNNNNNNNNNNNNNNNNNNNNNNNNNNNNNNNNNNNNNNNNNNNNCAGUGGGCAAGGCCCAGUAUGUGCUUUAUAUGUAUUGUAUGGUAUGUGGUAGUUUGGGGGAGCUCACUAAGCUUCGUGCUUACAGUUUCAGUUUUGGUUUCAGGUACUUCCGCAAGCAAAGAGAAGAGCUCGGGAUGAUGGCAUCGCACACACCACAACUUCAGUUUUUGUCCUGGAAGUUGAUUCAGUUUCUUGAUAUGUUUUUAUACAGUUGUGAUACAGUUUUCCUCACAGUAUUUACUAUGGUUUGAGAUACAUAGUGUGUGGUUUUAUUAUAUGAUACUCAGUUUCAUGGGUUGUUAUAAUAAAAAUCGAAAAUUUUUGGGUCGUAUUUUUGGGUUGUUUCAAGUACUUUAUUCAAUUCUUGUAAUUAAGAGUACUUUAUUCAAUUCUUGUUAAUAUAUUCUUGAAUUCAUUUUCUCCUACAAAUAUUUUGGUUAUUUACUAUGAUUAUUUUGUUUCGAAUUUGUAUAACAACUAAUUCUAGUAGAUUUGAGAUUUUUGUUAAAAUAAUUUUUUUGUUUAAAUAAUCAAGCUAAUCAUAUUAUUCAAGCAUAAUUCAAAANNNNNNNNNNNUAUAUAUAUAUUGGCGUGGUUUGAUUUUUAAGGUUAGUUUCUAACAUAAACUGCUCCAAAUCAACUAGGAUUGGUUUUUGCAAAAUUGAAAAACCACGUUGUUAGUUAUUGUAUUGGUUUUGGUUUCUCGGUUUCGACUGUUAUUGUGAUCAAAUUAAAUAAUUAUAUAAAUAUAUGGUCUAAAUGUCUUAUUAUAAUUAUGAUUUAGGAAUUAAUUAGGAGUAAAUAGAAAAAUUAUGAAAUUUUAAUUUCAAAACCCGUCAUUUAAAUUGGAGUCAUAAAUUCUGAUUUUUGGGUGAAUUAGAAAAGUUACAAACUUAGGCAUUAUACAUAGCUUGAAAAAUCCUACAAAAAACACACUAGAAGUGCAAGAAAAGGUUGAGAAACCAGAGAAGAAUCCAUGAAGGAAGUUGUGAAGUUAUUUUUCAGAGUUCUAGCAAAUUAAGGUACGAUCUCCUGAUUUUAGCAUGUUACAGUCGUUAGGAAGAUUUAUAUGCAUGUUUUAGGAGUUUUGGUUCUACCUCGUGUGUCUCUGUUCGGGUUAAUAAGUUGUGAUUCCACGAAAAUAUGAAAUGUUAAAACUUAUGUAUAAAAGCUUGUAUAAAAGCUUGAAUGCAUCUCAAUUUGGAGCUUAUUUUUAUAGUUGACUUUGGAUAUUUGUUAGUAAGAAAUGGAGAAAAAUAAUGGUGAUUUUUUUAUAAUGGUUUAGUAAGAAACUAGAUUAUGACCCGCGUUAAAUGCGGGAACGCAUAAAUAAAAUAUAAAUGUAUAUAGAUAUUACAGAAUAAUUAUAAAAAAUCAGGGUUAUUGGUAUUAUUGAAAUGUGUAGAAAAUACACUGAAAUCAGUAAAUAUAUAUAGUCGUUGAAUGACCUCUUUGUGAACAUUUUUUUGUUUGAUUAGUUGAACGACCUUUCUCGUAACAAAGUAUCUUCAAACAUUUUUUACUUGUGACAUGAAAAAUAGUUACAUAUAGUUGACCAUGCGCAAAAACAGGUUUACGCAAGUAUAAUCCAACAUUUGACAAUGUACUUUCAAAAUACAUUGUUAUUUCAUGGUUAUAUUGAAAAAUAUAAUUGUUUAUUUCAAAAUUAGAAACGUAUUAAUGUUUAUUCGAAAUGAACCACAUAAACCCCCCACAAUAUUAAAUACAAAAGAAACUCUAACAAAUAAAUAUAAAAACAGUUAUGUUUGCUCGAUUUAGAUUUUGCCCGUGACUCAUUGAAAAUGUUAAAAAUACAUAAUUGACACACAAAUUACUUGUUAUUAUGAGACGAAUUAAACAAUAAACACAUGAUGAUGUCGGUUUUUUAUUAAUUUUUAUGAUAAUGAUAAAAUAAUGAAAAAAUGAAUGUUUACUUCAAGACAUUUGCAGACGUUUGUGUAAGGUCUAUGGUCUUAACUGUUGAGUAUUCAUAUCUUUUACAUAUAGCUAUUAAAUGGUUAUUUAAAGAUGAAUUAAAAUUUAUUUCUAUUUCUUGCCGAUUUAGAAGUAUAUUUCGAUCAUUUUUGCAUUAGAUAAAAAACAUAUAGAUUCUUUUAGUAUUACUGCAAUCCUACUUUCAUAUAAAAUUAAUUUUUUUGCAUCAGACCAAACUCAGUGUUUUUCAGCAUUAUUAUCAUCCUAUAUUAUACAUUCUUGAUGGUUUUGAAAAGUUCGCUUCAAUUUCUCAUUCCUUUUUAAAAGUUCAUUGUUAUUUCUUGUUGCUUUUAGAAAUAAGUUGUAGACUAUUUUUUUGUAUCAGACCAAAUUUGAAGGUUAUUUUUGUAUUAUUACCAUCGUAUAUAUUCCAUUUCAUUUUUAUUAUUUGAAUAAAGUUUUUGUAGUUCAAAACUCAUACGAAUAUAAGAAUACUGACUAUAUAUUAACCGAUUCUUUAUAAUGUAUAAUUAAAAAUCAAGACAGUAUAAUCAUAAUUUAUUGAUGUUAGAUAAAAUGUAAUUUAUUUGGCGAUGAGGUUAGUUUUUGGUUAUUUAUUUGGGAAUUAUAAUAUGUAUUAUGCAUUACAAGUAUCUAUCUUUCGAAUUUAACAUUUAUUACUUUCGAAUUUUAUUUUGGUUUGACAUAGGCAUGAUCAUCUCAUAUUUAAUACUUUGUUGUUCUUGCACCUUUACUACCUGUUGACUUACAUUCAUUAAAUCAAGAUUUAACAUUUACAAAAAAGGGAUAAUUUCAUUUAUAUCCUUGGAAACUUUAAAUAUUACAUCUAUAUCCUUGGAAAUUUAAAAUUUACGCAUAUAUCCGUAUGAAACUAUAAAACUCACAUUCAUAUCCAAACACAUAAUUUAAUUAGGUUUAAAUUAAUUUAAUAUUAAAAACAUAUCUAAAAUUCAAAAAUCCAUAUGAUUAUACUAAAAUGCCCUUUUCAAAUUAAAAAUUAGCAUUAAACCAAUUUAAAAGCAACUACUUGCAGAAUGUGAAUCGGCUAAACCUAAUUUUGAAAUGGCUAAACUUAUUAUAUGCGAGCAUUGUUAGAAAUGAAAACCAAAAAGAAUUCUUUCGAGAAUGAUGAAGCCACUUAACGUGAAACAAAUGUUGGGUCCAUGGAAUGUUACUUGGCCAAUUAACGUUGAAUAAAUAUCAUAACCCCAAUCUCGUAAGCACUAUGACUUUUAUGAGGAUCUCUUGUGUGAUCUACUGACUUUACUUUCGAUGAUACUUUCUCAUUUUUAUAUUAUAAUUUCAUUUAGUAAAAAGUCAAUAAUAAUAUAUAAGAUUAACGAAUUGUUCCAACGAUUAGCAGAAUCAAGAAGAGAAAAGGAUAAUUGGGCAUAGGCAACAAUUGAAAUCAUAGCUUCGACAAGGAAGAAAUGGCGGCAUGAAGUUUUUGUAAUAUUUAGUUAGGUUUAAUUAUAAUUAAAUUGGUUUAAUGUUAAAGUUUAAUUUGAAGAGGGCAUAUUAGUACAAUUGAAUGAAAUUUUGAUUUCAAAAUAAGAUUUUUUAAUACUAAAAAAAUUUAAAGCUAAUUAAAUAUGAGUUUGGAUAUAUAUGUGAGUUUUAUAGCUUGAGGCGGAUAUAUAUGUAAUUUUAAAAUUUAUAAGGAUAUAUAUAUAUAUGUAAUAUUUAAAGUUUCUAAGGAUAUAAAUGAAAUUAUCCCUAAAAAAACAAAUAUAGACAAGAAACUAUUAAACUUUUGUGAUAUCAAUAAUACAAAAUUGGACCAUUUUCUACAGAAUAAUUUUAAAACCGAAGAGAACCUGAUUGCCCAAAUACCCAACAUCAUUAUUUAAGUCAUAACCUGUUAUAUGACAAUAAAAUUGAAAAUUUCAGCCAAAACUCUGUUACAUGUCAUCAAAGUUGAAAAAAUAUCCUUUAAAGUUAGACGAGGGUAUUAAUAUAAAAAAUCGUCUUUCACUUUUUGUUGGAUGUAUUUUUUUGAUGACAGGAACAAUUAUCAGUCCAAACAUAAUCCGUAAAACCCAUCAUAGCCAAAUCAUAGAUUGCUUAAUCAACAAAAAAAUAUUACAGUCGUAGAUGGUAAUCAAGUUAGAACAUCUUUUUCUUAAAGACCAAGAAAUGGACAAUUUAUUAGAAUCACAUCACACUGAUAAAAGUCAUAACAAAGUGCAAUAGAUUGAAUCUAUAGUUUACAAUAAAUAUAAAAAAUAAAGCCUUGUCGGAGAUAGAAAAACUUGAGGACGAGACAAAAAAACACGUAACACAACAAAGUUGCAAACAUUAAAAACACAUGAUGCUAAUAAAUCUAUAAAAAAAAAAAGCAAAAUUUAUACCUGGUUGUAAGAUUAGUGUAGAGAACUUGUGUUAGAUUCUUUUUAACAUUUUGUCAAACACCUAAGGUGCAUGUUCUAAUAACCCAUCUUUUGAAUGUAACAUGACAAAAAAAUCCAAUGUUAUAUAAGAAAAGUAUAGGAAAUGAACUAAACUAACAUGUAUUUAGAUUAUGCAAAUUAUUUUGAACAAUCUUCCUUCAAAAAUAUAUUUAUUGUUGUUUCAUACUUACAUACAAAGUUUAAUUGAAAAAAUUUAAUUGUAAUUAUGCAAUUUGAUUCUACCAUAUAAAUACAACCACAUAGAAAAUUUAAGAAUCAAAUAAAAACUUUGUCUAUAAUACCGUAAAUUUGAUAUUUAAACAAAUAAGAUCAUUCCUAAUUUAGAUUCUAACUUCUUAGCCCGCUUUUGAUAUGGUUCAUGUAUUAAUAUCUAGAGAAACCGGUAUGCAAGGAUGUUGAUAUUAAGUGUGGUAUAUUGUUGUUACCGAUAAAAAAAGUUGUAGUUUACAUUAAAAGUUCUUAUUUCAUGGUAAGUAUGUUGCUAUAAUUUGUAAAAAAAAUCACAUAGCUAUUUCAGUUUAUAAUGGUUGUUGAGGAUUAAGUCCAAGUUAGUAGAUUAAGCAUUUAAUAUGAAAAGUUGUACAUUGUUGUUUUGUUUGACUUAAUCUAGACUGAAUGAUGUAAUAUGUUAAACCAAAAUAACCUUAUGUAAUGUUUUAUGAGAUUUCAAAAAUAGAAACAUAAUUUUGUUAGUCAUAGAAAACAAUCUUUGAAAGGUUGUAUUUACUGUACAGAAACAUAUACAAAUUAGAAUAGUUAUAGUUUAACCCUUUAUGGAUUAAAUUGUUUAUAAAAUCCAUCCCAUUAAUAGUGAAUAAAAGAUAAAUUAAAAGACAUUUACAACACGAAAAAAUCACAACAUGUUACUGUUAAAAAUGGUAUAACAAUGUACUUAAAACAUACAUUCCUAAAAAUAGUAUAAUAUGAAGUUAUUAUAUUCGACAAUAAAGUCAGAAACAAUAACCAAGUUGAGAUAAUCAAACAAACAUAAAUAGUAGCAACAACCGAUUUGAUCCAUUUUUAAAUUAAAUUACCAAUUUACCCUUUUGAUGAACAUAGUCCAUACUAAAUUAAUGAUUUAGACUUCGGAUAAAAAAUGGAAGUAUCAUGCUAAAAGAAUCAUUUUAGUAUACGUGUCAUCUUAAUAUCUAUUGUUGAUAUGCUUUUCCAUCCCAAUGCUUUUUAUAGUUUCUUAAGUCAAAUUACCCUUUUGCCCUUACGUUUCCUUACUUAAAGGUUUCCUGCAUUUAAUUUGCUAUUAAAUUAAAAUAAAUCACAUAAAUUUAGGAGUUUAUUGAUACCUUCAAAAGGUAAAUUCGAAUAUUCCAUCUUUAUUCUAUCACAAAUAAAUUUACCUUUCUGCUCAUAAACCUUCAAAUCAUACUUAAUAUUUAAAAAAAAUUCAUCUAACAAUAUCAAUAACCUUUAGUUAUGAUUUCAAUUUAAAGUUAGAAAUGUUGUGAUUCAACCAUCAUACAAAAAUAUUAAUUUACAUUCAAACACUAAAAAAAUAUAUCUUUAUUAAUUAAACGAAAGAAGCGACUAACCUUCUAGUGCACAACAACGAAGGUUUGAAGCAGAUAAUGAUGAUGGAAGUUAUAAACAAUAAGAAUGAUAUUGUAGGAGAAGGUUUGAAGCAAAGCAACGAUUAGAAAUAAGUGUGAGCCACAGAUUCAAAGAUGAAUUGUAUAUGUAUGUCAUAAUUUGAAUCUGAUUUUUGGUAUUAAUGGUUUCCUAAUAAAAAUGGAUUUUAUAUUAAUGGUUUACUAAUAUAAACAAAUUUAUAUUAAUGGUUGAUAUUUAUUGCCUUAAUUGAAAUAUUUUUUGUAAUAUGUUUUUAAUGUUGACCAUUUUAAAACCUUUAUAACCGGAAAUUCAAGAUUUAAAAUAUGAGAAACUUUUAUUAGAAUUAAAUACAUUCCAUUUCAAUAGAUUUAAGUUAAUUUUGUUUGACAAUUAGAAAUCUUUUAUUGGAAUUAAAUAUAUUUAAUUUGAAGAAGAUGAUAUCAUCAAUUUGAUCUAAGGGUGGAAAACAUAGGAUUGAAAUACAAUCAAUGGCCAAAAUUGUUUUAAUAUAUAUNCAAUGGCCCAAAUUGUUUUAAUAUAUAUUAAAGAUAACAAAAUUAUUGAUAUGUUCAUUUAAUGAGUUUUUUAAAAAAGAAAAAACUGAACAUGUUUGAAUUUUGAAGCCAAAAACUAUAAAUAAGGGAGUUAAAUUAUGAACAAUAUUAAUUAGAGUAAAUGAUGGCAUAGAUCGUCAAAAGAUGGAGAUGCUUGCUUCAGUUUGUAGAGAUUUGUGUGAAGCCAAAACAGAGGUGUGAUAAUUGGAGAUGCAAAGAAGAAGCAAUACGUAAAUUCUAAGAAUACAUGAGCAAAAAGGAACCAACUUAUGGUGCUACAUUCUGUUAUGAACACACAAAGCAUCAAUUGAAGCACAACCGUUGACAUGAGGACGAAGAGACUUAAGGAAUUAUGGUUUAAGAGAAAAAAUAGAGGAGAAAUAUGGGGCGACUAUUCAUGUUUUUGACAAGAUUUAUGGAGAAACCGAUACCNUAUGUCAUAAUUUGAAUCUGAUUUUUGGUAUUAAUGGUUUCCUAAUAAAAAUGGAUUUUAUAUUAAUGGUUUACUAAUAUAAACAAAUUUAUAUUAAUGGUUGAUAUUUAUUGCCUUAAUUGAAAUAUUUUUUGUAAUAUGUUUUUAAUGUUGACCAUUUUAAAACCUUUAUAACCGGAAAUUCAAGAUUUAAAAUAUGAGAAACUUUUAUUAGAAUUAAAUACAUUCCAUUUCAAUAGAUUUAAGUUAAUUUUGUUUGACAAUUAGAAAUCUUUUAUUGGAAUUAAAUAUAUUUAAUUUGAAGAAGAUGAUAUCAUCAAUUUGAUCUAAGGGUGGAAAACAUAGGAUUGAAAUACAAUCAAUGGCCCAAAUUGUUUUAAUAUAUAUUAAAGAUAACAAAAUUAUUGAUAUGUUCAUUUAAUGAGUUUUUUAAAAAAGAAAAAACUGAACAUGUUUGAAUUUUGAAGCCAAAAACUAUAAAUAAGGGAGUUAAAUUAUGAACAAUAUUAAUUAGAGUAAAUGAUGGCAUAGAUCGUCAAAAGAUGGAGAUGCUUGCUUCAGUUUGUAGAGAUUUGUGUGAAGCCAAAACAGAGGUGUGAUAAUUGGAGAUGCAAAGAAGAAGCAAUACGUAAAUUCUAAGAAUACAUGAGCAAAAAGGAACCAACUUAUGGUGCUACAUUCUGUUAUGAACACACAAAGCAUCAAUUGAAGCACAACCGUUGACAUGAGGACGAAGAGACUUAAGGAAUUAUGGUUUAAGAGAAAAAAUAGAGGAGAAAUAUGGGGCGACUAUUCAUGUUUUUGACAAGAUUUAUGGAGAAACCGAUACCUAAUAUAUAAAUAGAAUGAUAUGCUUCAAUUGAUAACAUAAUUGCUGAUUUUAAAGAUUCUAUAAUUAAAUGUAAUUGUGCUCGAAUUGUGAAAUAUAUUUUAGAAAGUAUGAUAUAUUCUAUAAUUAAAGAUUCUAUAAUUAAAUGUAAUUGUGAUUGAAAUUUAGUUGCUAAAUUUAAAGAUCCUAUAAUUAAAUGUUUGAAUUAUAUUUGGAGAAGAUGAUGUUAACAAUUUGAUCUAAGGGUGUAAAUCAUAUGAUUAAAAUACAAUCAAGGAUCAUGAUUGCUUCAUUGGUGAAUUAAGGGUUCUCUUUUAAUAAUAUUUAGAGAUGGAGAAAAAUAAUGGUAAUUUUUUUAUAAUGGUUUAGUAAGAAAUGGAAAAAAAUAAUGAUGAUUUUUUUAUAAUGAUUUAACAUAAUGUUCGGUAAUAUUUGAGCUUUAUUAGUUCAAAAAUGGCAGAAAUAGAAAAAAAAAUGGGGUAUAGAAGAAUGUAAUCCGGGUCUUUUUAUUCUAUGGGUUAACAUAAGGGUGUCGAACGGGUAAAAUUUCUAGGUUUCGGGUAGAACAGGUAUUUCCUUAAGAAAAUAAUACCCGAAACCCGACCUAUAUUGUAAUUUGGGGUUUUCGGGUUUCGGGUAUUCGGGUUUGAGGUCGGGUCGGGUAAUUAUCGGGUAUACCCGAAAAUUUCUUAAAUGACAUUUAUUGAUAUUUUUUUACAUGUUGGUUGGUUAAAUAAAGAAUUGGGUAGAAAAAUACUUAAUACAAUUAACAAGUACAUCUAUAAUAACAAUAAAAAUCGUUAUAAUAUGUUAUGCACUUUUUAAUUCCAUUACGUGCGAUAGAGAGAAACUGAGAAUUGUGAUGACGGUUCAGGACUUCAGCUUCAGCGUCGUAUUCCCUUUGCAAGUUUGUAUUGACUGUCGAGCCGUCGUUCAUAAAAGGAAACGAAGAGUUUUGUUUUAUUUGAAGUAUACAUACGUGAUUGCAUUAUAUAUUUGAUAUUAUUUAAAAAACGAAUUCGGGUAUACCUGAAAAUAAAUAUUCAUACCUAAAACUCGACCUAUAUUAUUAUCGGGUUAACUUAUUACCCGAAUAUUGAUACCCGUUACCCAUUCUACAUGACCCACUCUACCCAAAUUCGGAAUGGAUCGGAUAGAUAGAACGGAUUUCGAAUUUUUUCGACAAGCCUUGUUAACAUAACCUUUUUUUUAAAAAAAAGAUGCCAGUAAAAGUACCAAAAAAAAAAACCAUCGUUGUCCUGCGCCUAGCUUAAUUUUGGAAACCUCGAAUUUACUAUUUAAUCCCUAAAGUUUGGUAAUCUGUUUAUAUUUUUAUUAAUAGAGCUAGACAAUUUCAACUUGUGUCCUUGUAUAAUGUUUCUUUUGAAUAUAAUAUUCAAGGUACAUAAAUGGUCCUUACACUAUCAAUACAUUGACGAUUCAAAUUUCAUUUUAAGUAUGAUACGUAAUGGGAGAUGUGAAUCGCCAAAACGGUCCUAAAGUUUUAAUAACUUGAUAGUGUUUAUUAUUGUUAACUUUUUUAAAACUUUUGUAUUUUAAAGGGUUAAAUAUAUUGACUAUGAGUAUAAAUUUUAAGAGUCAAACAUUAUUAAUAUUGGAAUUUCUACAAUAAAAAAAAUAUAAUAUUUUACUAAAAUUGUUACGAACAUUGUAAUUAACGUAAUUCAAUAAUUAUUAGAUGACCAUGAGACAUAUGGAUGGUUGAGCCAAAAAAAAGGUGAGUAUGAUAUUUUUAUAGGAUUAUAGACUUAGAAAAUAUUGUUGGUGGAAUGUAGGGUUGCGGAUAUCGUGGUAAGCUUCAGUUAAGACACAACUACAAUGAUGUGAGUAUUUCGUGUUUUGUGGUUGGUCGUACAUAAAUGUUUAUCAUGCGUUUAUUAUGCGAUUUUUAUUUAUUUACUGACAGUAUGUUUUAUGAUAAGUAUGGUUGCAUGCAAAUGUUAUUUUAAAUUUGUUAUCUAUUUGUGUGUGUUUUUGGAUGACAUGUUUAACGAGAAUGGGUGGGUGUUUAAUCGUCAUGAGCAUGACGGACGAGUGUGAUUGGCUGGGGAUCGGAAUUGAGAAUCAUACUCAUUUCCUUGGAUAUUUAAAAUACUUGAGUACAAUGGAUGAUGAUUUAUCUCAAGGAGAAAGGAAAUUAAUCUUUGAUUCUUUCUCUGGAUAAUUAACCGUUCCCCUAAAUUAUGUCAUCAGGUGAUAUGUUUUGUUAUAUGAUUUAUCGAAACUAUAUGAUAAGACCUUUUGUUUUUUUUUAAGUGAGGAAUAUGUAUGUGUAACACGAACUCACUAGGCCAUACGCUUACCUAUUUAGAAACUUUAAAUGUGUGCAACCCAGGAAACUAUUUAGCAUGUGACAAAGAAAAGUCCAAGGAGAAAGAUUGAUCCAGAAGAGGACAGAGGAAUUCGACAAAGACAUAACACCCGAAGUUGUUCAAUUGAAUAUUUUCUUUUAUUUCAUUUUGCUUCGGCUGUGAUUUGGUCAAUAAGUAAGUUUAGAAUUGGUCUUGAGAUGUUGAAACGAUUAUUUUUCAUUUAAUUGAUAUUUGAAAAUUAAGGUGUUAUAGUUCCGGUUUCUUUUGAUUCUUUUAUUCAGUUAUGUUUUUGCUCAUCCCUAAAAAAAAUCCUUGAUGCACUAUUUUUGGUUUAUAGUUUUUUGUAUGCUGUAUAGCUUCGCUAGGGUAGGGAUGAAAGUGGGUCCAAACCCGGACCCGAUGGACCCGGACCCGGAAAACCCGGAACCGAUUAACGGGAUUUUAUAGAAUCAGAAACCGGACCGGUAUAUAGGAACCGGUUCCGGUUCGGUUCCGGGUAUGGUUCCGGGUAAAGUGGGUCUAGAACCGAAAAACCCGGAAACAUCAAAGUGGGUAGGUUGGAACCGGAUAAAGUGGGUUUAGACCCGGAAAACCUGAAAAAACCGGAAUUUUUUGGUAAUUACUUACAACUUAGUGGGUUGAACUUUGAAAAUUUUUAUAUUGAUAUCCCCACUUUGGGGGGCUGUAACUUAUUGAAUACGAAACCACAAUUAACAAAAUUAGAGUCUAAAAUCAUGUACAAACUCUAAAAUACACUCUGGAAAAACCCGCUUGUCAAUCCGAAUUUAAACGAAUGAGAUAUACUUGUGUUAAUAUUUUCACAUAAUACAAAGUACAAAAACAAAUAGCUGAAAAGUUGAAAAUUUUCAGUUUUGAUAUCCCGACUUCGGAGGACUGUAAAUCAUUGAAUGUUAAACCAAAAAUGACAAACUUAUAGCCUAAACUCAUGUACAAACUAUAAACUAGAAGUUGGAAAAAACCACACGUCAAUCCGACUUCAAACGAAGUAGAUAUGCAUGUUUUAAAACUUUCACCAAAUACAAAAAAAACUAAAAACUUUUAGCUUUGGUAUCUCAACUUUUGAGGACUGUAAGUCAAUGAAUAUAAAACUAAAAAUGAAAAAUUUAUAGUCUAGAAUCAUGUAGAAACUCUAAACUACAUGUUGGAAAAAACCGUAUGUCAAUUGGAGUUGAAACGAAUAAGAUAUGCAUCUUGUAAACGUUUCACAAAAAGUGUUUCCGGUCCUAAAAGUGGUUCCGGUUUCAAAAACCGGUUCCGGAUUUUAGACCCGGUUUACCCGGACCCAAUGGACCCAAACCCGGAUUACCCGGAACCCGGAUAAAGCCAAUUUUUAAACCCGGAACCGGACCCGGUUCUAUAUAUUCCGGUUCUAACGGUUCCCGUUCCGGUUCCGGUCCGGUUUUCCGGUUCUAAAUCUCAUCCCUACGCUAGGGCUAUAUGUUGUAUGGCUUCUCUAUGGCUUAUAAUUGGUUUUGGUAACCUCCAAUGUGAAGUUUCCAUUUAUGUAUGUAUAGUUGGACCUAAUAUCGGCAUUGAACUUGUUAUAAUUGCAAAUAAUAUACUUUUUGUUAUGUUAACCCUUAUAGUAAUUAGAUGUUGGGUGUUGCAAUGUCGUCUACCAAACUAACCGUUUAUUAAAAUCAUCAACAAUACUAUUAAACGUCUUUGGUAUGGAAGCACGGAAGGUACCUUUAUCCCUCAUAAAAAUAAGAUGCAAUUCCAUUAAUAUCUCAAUAGUAACAAGCAAUGAAAGAAUUAAUAAAAAUGUUGAGCAAUAUUAUUGUGUAUAACAUAUAUAAAAUUAAAAAUACUCCAUUAUGUAUAUAUAAAAGAACAAAUAUCUUUAGUUUCAUUAACCACUUUCUAAAAUAUAGUAAAAUAUUAACAUAACCAUUUUUGCAUACGACAUCACGGUUUCACCAUUUUGAAUUAGUGGCUAUUUUGGUUAUUAUGUUAAUUUUUUACUAUUUUUUAAAAAGUAAUUAAUAAUCUUUAACAUUUUUCUUCUUGUUUCUAUAGCCGCUGCUUUUAACAGAAGAUACGUGCAUAAUCGUGGAUCAUAGAUAGUCCGACUCCUAGGUCUCUAAGUUAUUCUUUAUCAUGAUAAUAAUAAUAAUAAUAAAAAAUCUGAAUAUUUUAGUACACAUUCAAGGGACUAGAAUACUAGAUAGUUCCUGUAACCAGCGAUUCUAUAUAAGAUUAAAAUACAACAAAAGUUAUAUAAAAUAUAACAAAAUUUGACAUUUUAUCGAAGUUUACUUAAAUUUAAAGACAUAACAUCUUCUUUUUGAAACACAACCACCACUUCCAAAUUUAUUAAUCAAAACAAAUCAUAUAAAAAAAUUAGCCAGUGAGCUCCUCCUCCUUGUGGGUCUCGAUGGUGACGUCAGAGGUCGGAUAAGCCACACAGGUGAGCACCCACCCUUCCUCCAACUGGUCGUCGUCGAGGAAGCUGCCGUCUGAUUGGUCCAGACUGCCGGAGACCACUUUCCCGGCGCAUGAUGAGCAAGACCCAGCCCUGCAUGAGUAUGGCAGAUCGAUACCGACUUCCUCCAUGGCGUGGUCAAGGAUGUACACGUCAUCAGGGCACUCGAACUCCUGGGUUCCUUCCGGGGUCACGAGGGUGACCUUGUAUGUGGCCAUCAUGGUAACUCCGCCGCGGUUACGGAUGCCGGUGCUGGAUUUGAGUCCGAAGAGGGCUGCUGUUUUGUUGGAGGUGGAGAGAGAACGGAUGGCGGUGGUGGGCUGUUGGCGGCGGAGGAAGGAUGUGCUGGCCAUGGUGCCGGUAAGAGAUGCGGUUGCUGCUGCCAUUGUGGUGGUGGUUGUGGUUCGGAGAGACAGAGGGAGAGAUGGAAGGGAGUAGAAGUAGUGAGAAUGAGGAUAGCAAGGAGGGCUUGUGGAAAUAGUGUGUCUUGAGGAUGAGAUAUCUGCCACGUGUCAGAUUUUUGUGGUGUGCUUUAUCAUGUUAUCACAAUACGUCUAUUUUUUUCGCCAAUUUUCAUUUGUUUAUGGUAUUAUUUUAAUAGUAAACAUGAUCUUGGAUGUA
RNAcentral lists this long non-coding RNA (40851 nucleotides) under Lactuca sativa (garden lettuce). RNAcentral's name for it is "long non-coding RNA (LSAT_LNC005698)". Lineage: Eukaryota; Viridiplantae; Streptophyta; Magnoliopsida; Asterales; Asteraceae. The record is from RNAcentral.